AGUGAUGAAAUUCCGGAAGAAGCAAAACAGAUUAUGCGUGAGAUGGGCAUCGAUCCCGAUAGUUGGGAAUACUGACGCCAGAAAUAAAAAAACCCAGCCGAAGCUGGGUUUU
Molecule: unclassified non-coding RNA, 112 nt
Filed under: Candidatus Pantoea floridensis
Lineage: Bacteria; Pseudomonadati; Pseudomonadota; Gammaproteobacteria; Enterobacterales; Erwiniaceae
Source: RNAcentral